Paramuricea clavata is the source of this 3470-nucleotide non-coding RNA. The record is from the annotation of a GenBank genome assembly. NCBI's taxonomy places the organism in Eukaryota, Metazoa, Cnidaria, Anthozoa, Malacalcyonacea, Plexauridae.
GUGUACAGUAACUUUUAUUUUGUAUUAAAAUGACGUAAAUAUAUAUUGUUUAAAAUUUCCAACAUAAUAUACGUAUUAUGCUAUUACACACUACCAGAACUAGCCAUCUUCCUCAAUGUGGUCUAUUAAAAGUUGUGUUUUGCAGUUCUGUUGCAUGGUCUAUCGUAUGCCAAUGCCAUGUGGCUAAAAUUGCAAUGCCACCUCGAAUCAGUCGAAUGCCACCCUAAAAAUUAUGUUAAAAUAUUCAAAAAUAUGCAGAAUAACUUACCAGUAACCUCUGAUAAACUUUACUAGUUUCUUUAGACCCUUUGGACUGAUCAAAUGCAACCUGAAUUGCUUCAUUGCACCACAGAUUAAGCAGGGUUUUUGUUGCUUCGUUGCUCCAUACUUUCCCUCUGUUUCUCUUGACGGCGGCCAUUUUGCUUAAUACUAAUUCUCGCGAAAUAUUUCGCGCCACCGAAAAGUGCUGAAAUAGCAAAAUUUCGGGCACGGUGCCGCUUAUUUGGCGGGCCGAGACUACCUCAAGAGAUGGUCUCGGCCCGCCAAAAAUUUUAGGUACGCGUACCGCAAUCGGACAGGCCCGGUGCCGUUUACACGACAAAAAUCAAGAGUGCCGUGCCCACAGAAAUGGGUCCGCGUGCCAAAAUUUAAGCGUGCCGUGCCCAAAAUGACUGUCGUGUAAACGGGGCUUAAACGUGACAAAAAUCGGCACCGGUGCCGCAAAAUUUAAACGUGCCGAGACCUUCUCACGAGGUAGUCUCGGCACGUCUAGCAAGCGGUGCCGUGCCCAAAUGUGUUCGACAUCGAGCAUGCGCAAAACAAAUUGUCCUCUUUCCAACAUGGCAGCAAGCGGUGAAAAACUGCAGCUUGCCAAAAAUAAAAAAAAACAAAGUUAAAAAACAAAUUUAAAUAACACAGAAUGUGAAUGUUGCUCUAGUUGACUCGGAAAUUUUGAUACCACUGUUCGUCGCUGAAUAGAGCAGUAACUAGGUCGUAGCAAAUGGCUGUCCUUCGAUGCGUUCAUACCUCUCGAAUUUGUGGCGGGUGAAUACAAGAUGGCACAACAUUUACGCGAGAAAACAAUUCCUUUCGUCUUUAAGGGCCUGUUCAAGUGUUCAUAUGGGCAAAGGUUAUCCUGGUUAACGAGAAAACAUUUCGACUAGCCAAAUACUUUUGUUCUGUUCGCAUGGAGAAACGUUAUCCCGCUUACCGGGUAAAGUUUCCGGCUGUGGCAUCGCACUGAAUAUCAAUUGAAUUGAAAAGUUGCUGACACGACAGAAAGUUAUCCCGCUAAGCGGUAAAGUUGUGUUCAUGCAUAUGGGAAAAACAUCCCGGUCACCGAGAUCUGGCUUGUCAACAAGCGAGAUCUCGGUACACGGGAAAACUUUUUGUCUCAUAUGAACGCAGUGUAACUUUUCAUAUUAUUUUCAUACCAAGGCAAGAUCUCGUUUGUAAACUUGUCGAAAAGUUUUCUCGCUAAGCGGGAUAACUUUUCCCCAUAUGAGCUGGCCCUUAAAGUACUUUUCUAGUAUUGAAUUGGUUUUUCCCUCGAUUUUCGGCUCAUAUAAUACUCUUCUUCGUUCCAAUAAAUAUAAAUAUAUAAUUCUAUUUCUGUCCGACAUCUUUAUUCUUUAAAAUAUACCGUCGUAAACGGAAAGUAGAGGUGCCGUUUUCCGAUGGGCACGGUGCUUAUCGUAAAAGUGUGUUUACAAAAAGUUGUCGUGUAAACGAGUAAAUAGCGAAAUGGGAGUUUUGGCACGGUGCCCAUUUUCAGGGGUGCCGUGCUCAAAACGCUUGUCGUGUAAACCGGCCUAUAGUGUCAUCAGCAUACAUAACAAAGGAUAUAAUUUUACUACAGUUUUCAAUAUCGUUAAUAUAUAACAGGAAAAGUAGUGGCCCAAGAAUAGAGCCUUGCGGAACUCCUGUAGAUAUAAUCAAUUUGUUUGAUUUAUGAUGACCAAAUUUAACAAUUUGCAUUCUUUCAUGUAGGUAGCUUUCAAACCAUUUUAGGCAAUUUCCUCUUAUGCCAUAAUGUUCAAGUUUUUUUAGGAGAAUAUCGUGGUUAACUGUGUCAAAAGCCUUAGAUAGAUCAAGGAAAAUACCAAUUGUAUAUUUACCAUCAUCUAUAGCUUUUGAAAUUUUGUCAGUUAGUUCAAUUAUAGCAUGUUCAGUUGACCGAUUUUUCCUGAAACCAUAUUGAUGUUUAGAUAAAAUAUUAUGUUUUUCAAUAUAUGAAAUUAGUCUUUUAUGCAUUAUUUUUUCAAGUAGUUUUGAAAAACAUGUGAGAACUGAAAUUGGUCUGUAAUUUUCAAACAGGUAUCUUUCAUUUGCUUUAAAAAUAGGAGUAACGAUAGCUAUUUUUAGUGAUUCCGGGAUUACUCCAGUAUCAAACGUUAAAUUGAAAAUAUGUGCAAGAGGUUUGCAGAUUUCUUGUUUUAUAGUUUUUAUCAUUUUGGCACUUAUAUUAACAUGUCCUGCACUUUUAUUUGUAUUUAAGUUAUCAAUCUGAGUCAGUAUUUCAAGUUCAGUAACAGGCUCAGCAAACAUACUCUCUCUAUAGUUUCCUUUGAGAUAUUUUUCAAAUGAUACUGUAUCAUUUUUUCGAAUACCUUUUGCCAAAUUUGGACCAACAUUUACAAAAUAUUCAUUAAAUUUGUUAGCAAUUACGGUUGGGUCAGAAAAAUUAAUGUCUGAGUUCUUUUGUUGAAACACGUGAGAAAGUUUUUCCUUCUUUUUAUUUCUAUUCAGUAGUUUAUUUAUUGUUUGCCAUGUCAUUUUACUAUUGUUUUUGUAUUUAAUAAAUUGAUUUUCAAAGUAAUCUUUUUUACUAAUUUUAAUUAAAUGUUUUAAUUUAUUUUUGUAAUUUUUGUAAAUAGUUCAGUGUUCUUUUCACUUGGGUUUUUUAGACACUUUUUAUAGAGUCUGUUUUUAAUUCCAAUAGACUUAGAAAUACCUUGAGUCAUCCAAGGGCUUUUAUCGUAAUUAAUUAUAUCUCGUUUUUGCCGUUUUACUAAAGGAAAGCUUUUAUCAAACGCUUGUAUUAGUUUAUUAUGGAAAUUCUUGUAUGAUUCAGAGGGGUCAUUGUCUUCAACAAUAAUAUCCCAUGAUAUAUCUUUCACAGAAUUAGAAAAUAAUAGAAGACUGGCAUUAUUAACUAUUCUUUGAUGUUGCGAAGUUUCAACUUUAGAACUGUACAUUUUCGUUGGGAAAGAUGCAAUAUGAAAAACUGGAAGAUGAUCUGAUAUAUCACUAAAAACUAAUCCAUUCUUACUGGAUUCAAUUUGUUACGUCAUUAGUGAAUAUAUUGUCAAUUAAUGUUGCGGUAUGUUCAGUUAUCCUAGUUGGUCUUGUAAUAAGAGGCAAAAAUGAUGACGUAAAAAGUUGCUCACUGAAUCUAUUCGAAAAGUCACAACUUUCAGUUUUUAAGAGGUCAAUGUUAAAAUCGCCCAUUAAGUAAGUUAUUUUUUUUG